Molecule: ribosomal RNA, 376 nt
Filed under: Cryptomonas paramaecium
Lineage: Eukaryota; Cryptophyceae; Cryptomonadales; Cryptomonadaceae
Description: bacterial LSU rRNA
Rfam family: Bacterial large subunit ribosomal RNA
Source: RNAcentral
GGCUAGGCCCCUAAUAGAUUGCUAAGUGAUAAAGGAUGUGGGAAUGCUUAAACAGUCAGGAGGUUCGCCUAGAAGCAGCUAUCCUUUAAAGAGUGCGUAAUAGCUCACUGAUCUAGUGCGCCUGCGCCGAAAAUGAACGGGACUAAGCAGUCUGCCGAAGCUGUGGGAUUUUUAUAGAUCGGUAGGGGAGCGUUCCACCGUAGGUAGAAGCAUUAGUGUAAACGGGGGUGGACGAAGUGGAAGUGAGAAUGUCUGCUUGAGUAACGAACACGUUGAUGAGAAUCCGAUGCCCCGAAAACCUAAUGUUUCCUCCGGGAGGCUCGUCCGCGGAGGGUGAGUCAGGACCUAAGAUGAGGCCGAAAGGCGUAGUCGAUGG